CUGGGUGCAGCCACAGCUGUGAAAUACAGCGCAGUCGAUCCCAGUGGUCAGGCAGCCGUCACACAUAUUACAUGUAAUAUUAAAGAUAUGUAGCCUCCCCUGCCAGGCACAACGGCCGGGGACAGCGUCAGUAACUCCGGGCAUCGGGUUGCCGUGGUUACCGCCGCCUCCCGAUGACGUCAUUCUUCAGGCGCCCCGUCCUGACCGGAAGUUCCAUGCUGCUCCUGGAUCGAGAAUGCGGGCAUGGGGACGCUAUAUAGGCAUCUUCCGGACGAUCGGAUCUCCUACAUGAAUAGUGAAUACCGACUGAAGACGCCAUCUGCCUCAGAGGAUACAGUUCUUCAGAGGUUCCAUAUUGUGAGAAACCAUCACACAGGCUCAUUGUACCAGGGUCUCUGUGGGGUGUUCAUUUACAGAUUAGUGAU
Pseudophryne corroboree (corroboree frog) is the source of this 425-nucleotide long non-coding RNA. RefSeq lists it as uncharacterized. The record is from RefSeq and is a predicted model, not a curated record. NCBI's taxonomy places the organism in Eukaryota, Metazoa, Chordata, Amphibia, Anura, Myobatrachidae. The transcript is spliced from 4 exons.